Long non-coding RNA from Melitaea cinxia (Glanville fritillary), 1023 nucleotides. RefSeq lists it as uncharacterized. The record is from RefSeq and is a predicted model, not a curated record. NCBI's taxonomy places the organism in Eukaryota, Metazoa, Arthropoda, Insecta, Lepidoptera, Nymphalidae. The transcript has 5 exons.
CCAGUACCAUCCGUACGGAAAGCACGUUGUUUAUUUCAAAUCGUUUUCUAAAAUCGUUUUUUAUUUUUUAUUUCCUCCCUCAAACCUUAUACCUUCGACUUCCUCGCAAAUUAUAUUUUAAUUUGAAUUUUAUAAUUUUGUUUUAUUUUUCAAUUUUUUUUGCCAUUAAAGUGUGGUGCCGUCGACGACAGAUAUUUAGAGUUUUCCGAGAGUCUGGCCAUCAUUUUAUGAUGUUCUAAGUCGAAGUCGCUUCCAAGUCGCCCGAGCUUGUGGGCGGAUCGCGAUCGACUUAUACACCGAUGGUUGGAAGUACAUCUGAGGAACACUGAUACGAGAAAUUGAAAAGAACGCCUUUCAUUGCUUCUUCAACGACUUUGUAUAGUUAUAAUAAUCUGUGACAAGGAAACUCACGGUACUCCGAUCCACAAAAGCUAUAUCAUUUCCUGGGUUUUCAUUUGUGUGCUCACAUUGAGAACGCCGGAACAUGCAAACCUCAGGAGAACAUAUUCAAGUACUUAGUGGUUUUAAGAUCUGCUUGUAGAUGGCGCUGUUAGGAUAUAUUUAAAAGUUUAGGUUUUUAUGUAAUUUAAUCGUCUGAAUUAGGGAAAUUCCAGUUUCUUAAUGUCUCUCGGGUACUUUAAUAUUAUUAUUACUGAUGUUAGACUUAAUUGAAAUAUUUAUAUUUUUUUAUAUUAUGUAGGUCAGAAGGUCAGUGUGUCAGACUUUCUAACUAAUUUAAAAAAUGAAAUCAAUGUUUUAUUACGUACCAACAUGUAAUUUUUCUCUAAAUCAUGGGAUUCGUUUCUUCUGGAAGAUUUAAAGAAGAGAAGAUAAUGUACAGUUACGUACCCUUGUCAUUCUUCUUGCCCGGUGUUUUUAUACAACUGGACGGAGAACUGAUAAGGGCAUGUUCUGUUACAGAGCAUCACAGAGAAGAAUGAAGAAUUUUUAGAAGUUUGUUCUUUGUGGGUAGUUUUAAUAGUUUGUAUAUUUUCUCUAUUGGAAUUAAAAAUAAAAUAAUUA